AAUAUUGGUCAAUGGAGGCAACUCUGAACCAGCCAAGUCGCGUGAAGGAUGACUGCACUACGGGUUGAAUACUUCUUUUUUAAGGGCAUAAAGUGAGUCACGUGUGGCUUUGUGCAUGUACCUUACGAUUACGGAACGGCUAACUCCGUCUCACCAGCCGCGGUAAUACGGAGGAUCCGAUCGUUAUCCGGAUUUAUUGGGUUUAAAGGGUGCGCAGGCGGAAUAUUAAGUCGGCGGUGAAAGUUUGCAGCUUAACUGUAAAAUUGCCGUUGAUACUGGUAUUCUUGAGUGUAUAUGAAGUAGGCGGAAUUUGUAGUGUAGCGGUGAAAUGCAUAGAUAUUACAAGGAACUCCGAUUGCGAAGGCAGCUUACUAAAAUACAACUGACGCUUAGGCACGAAGGCGUGGGGAUCAAACA
RNAcentral lists this ribosomal RNA (417 nucleotides) under uncultured bacterium. RNAcentral describes it as "partial 16S ribosomal RNA". It matches the Rfam family "Bacterial small subunit ribosomal RNA", at positions 360 to 774 of the family's 1533-position model. The record is from RNAcentral.